RNAcentral lists this ribosomal RNA (301 nucleotides) under uncultured bacterium. RNAcentral describes it as "partial 16S ribosomal RNA". It matches the Rfam family "Bacterial small subunit ribosomal RNA", at positions 509 to 809 of the family's 1533-position model. The record is from RNAcentral.
CAGUAGCCGCGGUAAUACAGAGGGUGCAAGCGUUAAUCGGAAUUACUGGGCGUAAAGCGCGCGUAGGUGGUUCGUUAAGUUGGAUGUGAAAUCCCCGGGCUCAACCUGGGAACUGCAUCCAAAACUGGCGAGCUAGAGUAGGGCAGAGGGUGGUGGAAUUUCCUGUGUAGCGGUGAAAUGCGUAGAUAUAGGAAGGAACACCAGUGGCGAAGGCGACCACCUGGGCUCAUACUGACACUGAGGUGCGAAAGCGUGGGGAGCAAACAGGAUUAGAUACCCCAGUAGUCCCUGUCUCUUAUAA